GAUGAACGCUGGCGGCGUGCCUAAUACAUGCAAGUCGAGCGAACAGACGAGGAGCUUGCUCCUCUGACGUUAGCGGCGGACGGGUGAGUAACACGUGGAUAACCUACCUCUAAUACUGGGAUAACUUCGGGAAACCGGAUCUAAUACCGGAGAAUAUAUUGAACCGCAUGGUUCAGUAGUGAAAGACGGUUGUGCUGUCACUUAUAGAUGGAUCCGCGCCGCGUUAGCUAGUUGGUAAGGUAACGGCUUACCAAGGGGACGAUGCGUAGCCGGCCUGAGAGGGUGAGCGGCCACACUGGAACUGAGACACGGUCCAGACUCCUACGGGAGGCAGCAGUAGGGCAUCUUGCACAAUGGGCGAAAGCCUGACGGAGCAACGCAGCGUGAGUGAUGAAGGUCUUGGGAUCGUAAAACUCUGUUAUUAGGGAAGAACAAAUGUGUAAGUAACUAUGCACGUCUUGACGGUACCUAAUCAGAAAGCCACGGCUAACUACGUG
RNAcentral lists this ribosomal RNA (497 nucleotides) under uncultured bacterium. Its description in RNAcentral is "partial 16S ribosomal RNA". It matches the Rfam family "Bacterial small subunit ribosomal RNA", at positions 28 to 507 of the family's 1533-position model. The record is from RNAcentral.